UAAAAUUUGCGUCGAACGGAGGCCGGGAAGGGCCUCAUCGGAGGCAAAAACAGAGGGGGGGCGCGGCGGCGUCGCUGGACUUCAGCUGGGUUUUCUGGCCGUUUGGCCGGUGGUUCAGCUCCGAUUUGGCCAUAGGCGGACUCAACAUCGAGAAACGAGCUAGGGGGAGAAAAUUUACCUCGAUCAGCGGUCGAAAACUUCCCUGGUGUUGCGGCGGGCGGCGGCGGCCGGCUCAUCCGGCGUCUAGUUCUUCUUCUCCGACGAGGCACUGGCGGCUAGGGUUUUGUGGUCAGGUGUGGGUGGGGUUAUUUAUACCCUUUGCCUUUUAAUCUCAACCGUCCAUCAAGAUUAUAUCUGGACCGUCCGAUCGCGAUUUAAUUGGAAUUAAAUAUGGGCCUUCC
Molecule: long non-coding RNA, 401 nt
Filed under: Carica papaya (papaya)
Lineage: Eukaryota; Viridiplantae; Streptophyta; Magnoliopsida; Brassicales; Caricaceae
Description: long non-coding RNA (CPAP_LNC015402)
Source: RNAcentral